CAGGCUAAACUAAACGUCUGGCAGUUC
This 27-nucleotide non-coding RNA is filed under the name Mus musculus (house mouse). Lineage: Eukaryota; Metazoa; Chordata; Mammalia; Rodentia; Muridae. The record is from RNAcentral.